GAUGAACGCUGGCGGCGUGCCUAAUACAUGCAAGUCGAGCGAACAGACGAGGAGCUUGCUCCUCUGACGUUAGCGGCGGACGGGUGAGUAACACGUGGAUAACCUACCUAUAAGACUUGGAUAACUUCGGGAAACCGGAGCUAAUACUGGAUAAUAUAUUGAACCGCAGGGAGCAAUAGUGAAAGACGGCUUUGCUGUCACUUAGAGAUGGUUCCGCGCCGCAUUAGCUAGUUGGUAAGGUAACGGCUUACCAAGGCAACGAUGCGUAGCCGACCUGAGAGGGUGAUCUGCCACACUGGAACUGAGACACGGUCCAGACUCCUACGGGAGGCAGCAGUAGGGAAUCUUCCGCAAUGGGCGAAAGCCUGACGCAGCCAUGCCGCGUGAGUGAUGAAGGUCUUCGGAUCGUAAAACCCUGUUAUUAGGGAAGAACAAAUGUAUGUGUAACUAUGCCCGUCUUGACGGUACCUAAUCAGUAAGCCCCGGCUAACUUCGUG
This 497-nucleotide ribosomal RNA is filed under the name uncultured bacterium. RNAcentral's name for it is "partial 16S ribosomal RNA". It matches the Rfam family "Bacterial small subunit ribosomal RNA", at positions 28 to 507 of the family's 1533-position model. The record is from RNAcentral.